CUCAUGGAGAGUUCAAUCCUGGAUCAGGAUGAAUGUUGACGACUUGCUUUACACAUGCAAGUCAGACGGGAAGUGGUGUUUCUAGUGGCGGACGAGUGAGUAACGCGUAAGAACCAGCCCUUGAGAGGGGAACAACAGACUCUUAUGGGAGGCAGUAGUGGGAAAUUUUCCGGAAUGGGCGAAAGCCUGAUGGAGCAAUGCCACGUGAAGGUAGAAGGCCUACGGGUCAUGAACUUCUUUUCUCGGAGAAGAAGCAAUGACAGUAUCCGAGGAAUAAGCAUCGGCUAACUCUGUGCCAGCAGCUGUAGUAAGAUAGAGGACACAAGCGUUAUCCAGAAUGGUUGGGCGUAAAGCGUCUGUAGGUGGCUUUUUAAGUUCGCCGUCAAAUCCCAGGGCUCAACCUUGGACAAGUGGUGAAAACUACCAAGCUGGAGUACGGUACGGGCAGAAAGAAUUUCCGGUGGAGUGGUGAAAUGCAUAGAAAUCGAAAAGGACACCAACAACGAAAGCACUUUGUUAGGCCGACACUAACACUAAAAGACGAAAGCUAGAAGAGCGAAUAUGAUUAAAUACUCCAAUAAUCCUAGCUGUAAACAAUGAAUACUAAACGUUGUACAUAUCGAUUCGUGCAAUGCUAUAAAUAACACGUUACCUUAUAACUGUAACAUUUGCCAAUUUUAUUU
Molecule: ribosomal RNA, 683 nt
Filed under: Vigna radiata var. radiata (mung bean)
Lineage: Eukaryota; Viridiplantae; Streptophyta; Magnoliopsida; Fabales; Fabaceae
Description: Bacterial small subunit ribosomal RNA
Rfam family: Bacterial small subunit ribosomal RNA
Source: Rfam by way of RNAcentral